RNAcentral lists this long non-coding RNA (453 nucleotides) under Mustela putorius furo (domestic ferret). RNAcentral's name for it is "lncRNA (ENSMPUG00000028555.1)". Lineage: Eukaryota; Metazoa; Chordata; Mammalia; Carnivora; Mustelidae. The record is from RNAcentral.
GCUAAGACCGUAAUACAGAUCACAGUUCCCAAGCUGAAUUGAAUCUUCACAAUCGGCAAAAGUAGACACAUAUCCGCUGACUCUUAAGCCUGUCAGGAUGUUCUAGAAUGCUGCUUUCUUGUGGUUACUGCAGCUGUUCAAAGACCAUCUCACGUCUCUGUGACCCUGACACUGAAGACAGGGGGACAUCAUCCUCCUUUUUCUCACCUGGAAAGACACCUCCCAGUCCAUUUCCUCCCAUUUGCCAAAGAAGGACUGGAUCAAAAAGUUUGGGGAAACGUGAGAGAACAUCCUCAUGAUGGUACUUGGACAUGUCUGUACUUUUGCUACUUUGAAACUGAGCUGAUUUUCCAUGUGGUUGUGCACCUGAUCCCAUCAGGUAGGUCUUAAAUGUAUGACUGUCUUUUGAGAUUUUAUACCUAUCACUAAUGUGAUGAAUUUUCACUGCAGCUG